This 625-nucleotide small RNA is filed under the name Pan troglodytes (chimpanzee). Its description in RNAcentral is "processed transcript". Lineage: Eukaryota; Metazoa; Chordata; Mammalia; Primates; Hominidae. The record is from RNAcentral.
AGAAGGCACCCAGGAUUUGCACGGGGGGGAUUCAGGGAGAGAGGGUGAUGAGGGACGGGGUGGGCCUUCCAGUCUUGGCCCAGUCCCCGUCUUGCACACAUUGUUGGCUUCCUCUUAGAGCCGUUCGCCCCCCUGGGGAGGGGAGACCCAUAGUGACCUCUCCUGACACCCGCCGACCCUGACCAGUGUGUUGCCCGGUUCUUCAAAGGCCACGCUCUGACUGCUGGUCUGUGUCACCUGCACCCCCCAGCCCCACCGUAGAGAUGCCUUCUUCGGUGACGGCGCUGGGUCAGGCCAGGUCCUCCGGCCCCGGGAUGGCCCCGAGCGCCUGCUGCUGCUCCCCUGCAGCCGUGCAGAGGAGGCUGCCCAUCCUGGCGUGGCUGCCCAGCUACUCCCUGCAGUGGCUGAAGAUGGAUUUCGUCGCCGGCCUCUCAGUUGGCCUCACUGCCAUUCCCCAGGCGCUGGCCUAUGCUGAAGUGGCUGGACUCCCGCCCCAGCUCACAUCUCCCCUCAUCCUCUGGGACUGGGUGGAGCUGGGACCAGCUCGAUGUCCCCUCUUGGCUGGCCAGGGUUCCUGCUGGACUUCAUUUCCUACCCCGUCAUUAAAGGCUUCACCUCUGCUGCU